CCUGGCUCAGGAUGAACGCUAGCGACAGGCUUAACACAUGCAAGUCGAGGGGCAGCGGGGGUAGCAAUACCCGCCGGCGACCGGCGCACGGGUGAGUAACGCGUAUGCAACUUACCUAUCAGAGGGGGAUAACCCGGCGAAAGUCGGACUAAUACCGCAUGAAGCAGGGAUCCCGCAUGGUAAUAUUUGCUAAAGAUUCAUCGCUGAUAGAUAGGCAUGCGUUCCAUUAGGCAGUUGGCGGGGUAACGGCCCACCAAACCGACGAUGGAUAGGGGUUCUGAGAGGAAGGUCCCCCACAUUGGUACUGAGACCCGGACAAUACUCCUACGGGAGGCAGCAGUGAGGAAUAUUGGUCAAUGGCCGAGAGGCUGAACCAGCCAAGUCGCGUGGGGGAUGAAGGUUCUAUGGAUCGUAAACCUCUUUUAUAAGGGAAUAAAGUGCGGGACGUGUCCCGUUUUGUAUGUACCUUAUGAAUAAGGAUCGGCUAACUCCGUGCCAGCAUCCGCGGUAAUACGGAGGAUCCGAGCGUUAUCCGGAUUUAUUGGGUUUAAAGGGUGCGUAGGCGGCCUUUUAAGUCAGCGGUGAAAGUCUGUGGCUCAACCAUAGAAUUGCCGUUGAAACUGGGGGGCUUGAGUAUGUUUGAGGCAGGCGGAAUGCGUGGUGUAGCGGUGAAAUGCAUAGAUAUCACGCAGAACCCCGAUUGCGAAGGCAGCCUGCCAAGCCAUUACUGACGCUGAUGCACGAAAGCGUGGGGAUCAAACAGGAUUAGAUACCCUGGUAGUCCACGCAGUAAACGAUGAUCACUAGCUGUUUGCGAUACACUGUAAGCGGCACAGCGAAAGCGUUAAGUGAUCCACCUGGGGAGUACGCCGGCAACGGUGAAACUCAAAGGAAUUGACGGGGGCCCGCACAAGCGGAGGAACAUGUGGUUUAAUUCGAUGAUACGCGAGGAACCUUACCCGGGUUUGAACGCAUUCGGACCGAGGUGGAAACACCUUUUCUAGCAAUAGCCGUUUGCGAGGUGCUGCAUGGUUGUCGUCAGCUCGUGCCGUGAGGUGUCGGCUUAAGUGCCAUAACGAGCGCAACCCUUGCCACUAGUUACUAACAGGUAAAGCUGAGGACUCUGGUGGGACUGCCAGCGUAAGCUGCGAGGAAGGCGGGGAUGACGUCAAAUCAGCACGGCCCUUACAUCCGGGGCGACACACGUGUUACAAUGGCGUGGACAAAGGGAAGCCACCUGGCGACAGGGAGCGAAUCCCCAAACCACGUCUCAGUUCGGAUCGGAGUCUGCAACCCGACUCCGUGAAGCUGGAUUCGCUAGUAAUCGCGCAUCAGCCAUGGCGCGGUGAAUACGUUCCCGGGCCUUGUACACACCGCCC
Molecule: ribosomal RNA, 1379 nt
Filed under: uncultured bacterium
Lineage: Bacteria
Description: bacterial SSU rRNA
Rfam family: Bacterial small subunit ribosomal RNA
Source: RNAcentral